AGCGGCGGACGGGUGAGUAACGCGUGGGGAACCUGCCCUAUACAGGGGGAUAACAGUUAGAAAUGACUGCUAAUACCGCAUAAGCGCACGGAGCCGCAUGGCGCUGAGUGAAAAACAAUAGUGGUAUAGGAGGGACCCGCGUCUGAUUAGGUAGUUGGUGGGGUAACGGCCCACCAAGCCGACGAUCAGUAGCCGACCUGAGAGGGUGACCGGCCACAUUGGGACUGAGACACGGCCCAAACUCCUACGGAAGGCAGCAG
RNAcentral lists this ribosomal RNA (260 nucleotides) under uncultured bacterium. RNAcentral describes it as "partial 16S ribosomal RNA". It matches the Rfam family "Bacterial small subunit ribosomal RNA", at positions 94 to 354 of the family's 1533-position model. The record is from RNAcentral.